GCCCGGCUGGCACAAUUGGUUAGCGCGUGGGCCUUUUAAACAGAAUCAGAUAGCAAUAUCUCUUCUAAUGAGAGCCCAAGGUUGAGAGUUCGAGCCUCUCGUCGGGCG
Molecule: non-coding RNA, 108 nt
Organism: Cadophora sp. MPI-SDFR-AT-0126
Lineage: Eukaryota; Fungi; Ascomycota; Leotiomycetes; Helotiales; Ploettnerulaceae
Source: the annotation of a GenBank genome assembly